Molecule: non-coding RNA, 597 nt
Organism: Acomys russatus (golden spiny mouse)
Lineage: Eukaryota; Metazoa; Chordata; Mammalia; Rodentia; Muridae
Source: the annotation of a RefSeq genome assembly
AUGGAAAAACAUCUGAUCAGUGUCCUCUCUACAGUCAGUGAAGACACUGUCCCUAAGGAUGAAUGGAGCUGGCUUGUCCUCUUCCUCCUGUCAGUAAUUAGAGGUGUCUGCUCCCAGGUCCAGCUGCAGCAGUCUGGAGCUGAGCUUGGGAGACCUGGGUCCUCAGUGAAGUUGUCUUGCAAGGCUUCUGGCUAUACCUUCACUGACUACUAUAUGCAGUGGGUGAAGCAGAAGCCAGGACAGCAGCUGGAGUGGAUUGGAGGUAUUUAUCCUGGAAAUGGUAAUACUUACUACAAUCAGAAGUUACAGGGCAAGGCCACACUCACUGCAGACAAAUCCUCCAGCACAGCCUACAUGGAGCUCAGCAGCCUGACAUCUGAGGACACCGUGGUCUAUUACUGUGCGAGAGACACAGUGUUGCAACCACAUCCCGAGUGUGUCAGAAACCCUGGAGGAGCAAGAAGCUGCCCUGGGACUGAAAUGAAAGAGAAGAUUAGACUGGAGACUUGCUCAAAAAUAAUCAUUUUGAGCAUUUAUUUUUCUGCCUCAUCACAGUACUUUAGUGCCCUUGUCAACAUUGUAAAAGGACACCUAUGA